RNAcentral lists this microRNA precursor (103 nucleotides) under Equus caballus (horse). RNAcentral describes it as "mir-584 microRNA precursor family". It matches the Rfam family "mir-584 microRNA precursor family". The record is from Rfam by way of RNAcentral. Lineage: Eukaryota; Metazoa; Chordata; Mammalia; Perissodactyla; Equidae.
UAGAGUCACCAACUGUUCAUGUUUGCCUGGGACUGAGGAAUUUCCCAGGAUGCAGGACUUUCAGUCUUAGGCAAACCUGGGUGGUUGGUAACUCAGAUUCCAA